AAUCAACGCUGGCGGCGCGCUUAACACAUGCAAGUCGCACGAGAAAGUGGAGCAAUCCAUGAGUAAAGUGGCGUACGGGUGAGUAACACGUGGAUAAUCUACCUCUUAGUGGGGAAUAACCCUGGGAAACCGGGGCUAAUACCGCAUAAGCUCGAGAGAGGAAAGCAGCAAUGCGCUGAGAGAGGAGUCCGCGGCCGAUUAGCUAGUUGGCAGGGUAAAAGCCUACCAAGGCAUAGAUCGGUAGCCGGCCUGAGAGGGCACACGGCCACACUGGAACUGAGACACGGUCCAGACUCCUACGGGAGGCAGCAGUGGGGAAUAUUGCACAAUGGGCGCAAGCCUGAUGCAGCGACGCCGCGUGAGGGAUGACGGCCUUCGGGUUGUAAACCUCUUUCAGUAGGGAAGAAGCGGAAGUGACGGUACCUGCAGAAGAAGCGCCGGCUAACUACGUGCCAGCAGCCGCGGUAAUACGUAGGGCGCAAGCGUUAUCCGGAAUUAUUGGGCGUAAAGAGCUCGUAGGCGGUUUGUCGCGUCUGCCGUGAAAAGUCCGGGGCUCAACUCCGGAUCUGCGGUGGGUACGGGCAGACUAGAGUGAUGUAGGGGAGACUGGAAUUCCUGGUGUAGCGGUGAAAUGCGCAGAUAUCAGAGGAACACCGGUGGCGAAGGCAGGUCUCUGGGCAUUAACUGACGCUGAGGAGCGAAAGCAUGGGGAGCGAACAGGAUUAGAUACCCUGGUAGUCCAUGCCGUAAACGUUGGGCACUAGGUGUGGGGGACAUUCCACGUUUUCCGCGCCGUAGCUAACGCAUUAAGUGCCCGCCUGGGAGUACGGCCGCAAGCUAAA
Molecule: ribosomal RNA, 842 nt
Filed under: uncultured bacterium
Lineage: Bacteria
Description: bacterial SSU rRNA
Rfam family: Bacterial small subunit ribosomal RNA
Source: RNAcentral